GACAAUGCAUUGCGCUUGGUCUCUGGUUUCGUUUGGGGCUUUAUGCAAGGUGGGAUGAAAUAGUAAGAUAUUCUCAGAUGUCCGCGCGAGGAGUUAACGACCGGACGUGAUGCAACCUAGGGAUCACCAGGCAGCUCUUUUGCUCUAUAGGGAUCGGGGGGGCAUAGCACAAUUCUUCUUGGAGGAGGGUUGUUUGCCC
RNAcentral lists this long non-coding RNA (199 nucleotides) under Olea europaea (common olive). Its description in RNAcentral is "long non-coding RNA (OEUR_LNC009244)". The record is from RNAcentral. Lineage: Eukaryota; Viridiplantae; Streptophyta; Magnoliopsida; Lamiales; Oleaceae.